Molecule: non-coding RNA, 104 nt
Filed under: Streptomyces katrae
Lineage: Bacteria; Bacillati; Actinomycetota; Actinomycetes; Kitasatosporales; Streptomycetaceae
Description: Glycine sequence
Rfam family: Glycine riboswitch aptamer
About the family: This family represents the bacterial glycine riboswitch. Glycine riboswitches usually consist of two metabolite-binding aptamers domains with similar structures in tandem.
Source: RNAcentral
UGAAUCCGCGCGGGAGAGUCCCGGCCGGCCGAAAGGCCGCGCCCGGGCGCCGAAGGAGCAAGUCCCUCCCUUGAAUCUCUCAGGCCCCGUACCGCGUGGAUGAG